This 232-nucleotide ribosomal RNA is filed under the name uncultured bacterium. RNAcentral's name for it is "partial 16S ribosomal RNA". It matches the Rfam family "Bacterial small subunit ribosomal RNA", at positions 118 to 347 of the family's 1533-position model. The record is from RNAcentral.
UGAGCAAUCUGCCCUUCUCAUCGGAAUAAGCGUUGGAAACGACGUCUAAUGCCGAAUACGACCUCCUUUCGCAUGAUCGGAGGUGGAAAACUCCGGCGGAGAAGGAUGAGCUCGCGGCCUAUCAGCUAGUUGGUGUGGGUAAUGGCCCACCAAGGCGACGACGGGUAGCCGGCCUGAGAGGGUGACCGGCCACACUGGGACUGAGACACGGCCCAGACCUCCCGUACGGGGA